UGAAAGAGGCAAACUCCACAGAAAGUC
This 27-nucleotide non-coding RNA is filed under the name Mus musculus (house mouse). The record is from RNAcentral. Lineage: Eukaryota; Metazoa; Chordata; Mammalia; Rodentia; Muridae.